Ictidomys tridecemlineatus (thirteen-lined ground squirrel) is the source of this 596-nucleotide non-coding RNA. NCBI's taxonomy places the organism in Eukaryota, Metazoa, Chordata, Mammalia, Rodentia, Sciuridae. The record is from RefSeq and is a predicted model, not a curated record.
CAGAUGGGGAUGCCUCUCUUAAUUUAACCAAAUAUCUCUAUUAUAUUAAUAGUUCCUCCUUUAGAGGCCCAAUAAGAUGGCUUCAUUGGGCUGCCCACAAUGCUGCCUGGAUCCCUACCCUCCAGCUCACUGAGAAAUGUCAGUCAGGAAGGCCUGGAUAAGCCUAUGGAAGAUGCUCUACCAUUCCUUCUGAUGUGUUUGCUUUAGGACUGGCACUGGUUGACCUGAAUCUCACCUGUUGUCUGACUGUGUGAAUACCUUUAACUUCUCCCUGCCAAGGUACCACAUCUUACUUCUAAGUGAAGAUUACGGAUGAAAGUUUGGUCACCUGCGUGGAUCAGUAGGAUUAGAGACAUCAAAGCAAGUGGAAAUAAGAAAGACAAGCAGAGAAACAACAAACAAAAAGAAGUCCAUCUCUGAAAUUGAAGGUCUAGAAGAGACUCAUCAGACAAAAUACAUGGGAGAGGUGAAUAGACCAAGCAACCUGUGUUAAACACAUGUGGGUAAUAAACCCGUCAUAACCCUUCUUUGUUUAGGUAGCUGCUAACCUAUCCAAGAAGUUUAUCCUUACAAAACCUUUUCAAUAAAGGACUUAA